Molecule: ribosomal RNA, 213 nt
Filed under: Solenopsis sp. 24 GR-2021
Lineage: Eukaryota; Metazoa; Arthropoda; Insecta; Hymenoptera; Formicidae
Description: partial large subunit ribosomal RNA
Source: RNAcentral
GAAUUUAAUAUAAUUUUGUUAAAUUAAAUUAAUUGUAAAUUAUAAUAAAAAUAUAUAUUUAAUUGGGAGGAUUGUUAAAUAUAAUUAACUUUAAUUAGAUAAAAAUAUAAAUUAAUAAAUAAAAAGGAUGGUUAAUAAAUUAAAUAAGAAUUAAUUACCUUAGGGAUAACAGCGUAAUAUUUUUGGAGAGUUCUUAUCGAUAAAAAUGAUUGC